Molecule: ribosomal RNA, 253 nt
Filed under: uncultured bacterium
Lineage: Bacteria
Description: partial 16S ribosomal RNA
Rfam family: Bacterial small subunit ribosomal RNA
Source: RNAcentral
CACGGGGGGAGCAAGCGUUGUUCGGAAUCACUGGGCGUAAAGGGCGUGUAGGCGGUCAGGUAAGUGAGACGUGAAAUGCCCCGGCUUACCCGGGGACCUGCGUCUCAUACUGCUUGGCUUGAGUACGGGAGAGGGUGUGGGAAUUCCUGGUGUAGCGGUGAAAUGCGUAGAUAUCAGGAGGAACACCGGUGGCGAAGGCGCACACCUGGCCCGAUACUGACGCUGAGGCGCGGAAGCUAGGGGAGCAAACGGG